RNAcentral lists this long non-coding RNA (262 nucleotides) under Brassica napus (rape). RNAcentral's name for it is "long non-coding RNA (BNAP_LNC004998)". The record is from RNAcentral. Lineage: Eukaryota; Viridiplantae; Streptophyta; Magnoliopsida; Brassicales; Brassicaceae.
CAACAUCAGGCCUACACUAACCAAAUACACACCAAGCCUAAUCCGGUACCUAAACCAUACUUAAGACUUAAUGUCAGAACCUGCAAGCAAAUCAGUCAACCACAAACACAAUCACAAUAAUAAGACUAUGAGUAACUACGACUCGAUCUAACUUGUAACGCCGUAUAUCGGUGCUACACUAACUCGAGGGUUCCAUAACCCUCUACGACACUCUAAACACAACACAACACACUACCCCGGGAAAUGGUGACUUAGUGUUCAU